RNAcentral lists this ribosomal RNA (557 nucleotides) under uncultured bacterium. RNAcentral's name for it is "partial 16S ribosomal RNA". It matches the Rfam family "Bacterial small subunit ribosomal RNA", at positions 355 to 906 of the family's 1533-position model. The record is from RNAcentral.
UGGGGAAUUUUGGACAAUGGGCGAAAGCCUGAUCCAGCAAUGCCGCGUGUGUGAAGAAGGCCUUCGGGUUGUAAAGCACUUUUGUCCGGAAAGAAAUCCUUGGCUCUAAUACAGUCGGGGGAUGACGGUACCGGAAGAAUAAGCACCGGCUAACUACGUGCCAGCAGCCGCGGUAAUACGUAGGGUGCAAGCGUUAAUCGGAAUUACUGGGCGUAAAGCGUGCGCAGGCGGUUUGCUAAGACCGAUGUGAAAUCCCCGGGCUCAACCUGGGAACUGCAUUGGUGACUGGCAGGCUAGAGUAUGGCAGAGGGGGGUAGAAUUCCACGUGUAGCAGUGAAAUGCGUAGAGAUGUGGAGGAAUACCGAUGGCGAAGGCAGCCCCUGGGCCAAUACUGACGCUCAUGCACGAAAGCGUGGGGAGCAAACAGGAUUAGAUACCCUGGUAGUCCACGCCCUAAACGAUGUCAACUAGUUGUUGGGGAUUCAUUUCCUUAGUAACGUAGCUAACGCGUGAAGUUGACCGCCUGGGGAGUACGGUCGCAAGAUUAAAACUUAAAU